This 450-nucleotide ribosomal RNA is filed under the name uncultured bacterium. Its description in RNAcentral is "bacterial SSU rRNA". It matches the Rfam family "Bacterial small subunit ribosomal RNA", at positions 354 to 796 of the family's 1533-position model. The record is from RNAcentral.
GUGGGGAAUUUUGGACAAUGGGCGCAAGCCUGAUCCAGCAAUGCCGCGUGCAGGAAGAAGGCCUUCGGGUUGUAAACUGCUUUUGUACGGAACGAAACGGUCCGGGUUAAUACCCUGGGCUAAUGACGGUACCGUAAGAAUAAGCACCGGCUAACUACGUGCCAGCAGCCGCGGUAAUACGUAGGGUGCAAGCGUUAAUCGGAAUUACUGGGCGUAAAGCGUGCGCAGGCGGUGCUGUAAGACAGGCGUGAAAUCCCCGGGCUCAACCUGGGAAUUGCGCUUGUGACUGCAGUGCUGGAGUGCGGCAGAGGGGGAUGGAAUUCCGCGUGUAGCAGUGAAAUGCGUAGAUAUGCGGAGGAACACCGAUGGCGAAGGCAAUCCCCUGGGCCUGCACUGACGCUCAUGCACGAAAGCGUGGGGAGCAAACAGGAUUAGAAACCCGAGUAGUCC